Molecule: ribosomal RNA, 480 nt
Filed under: uncultured bacterium
Lineage: Bacteria
Description: partial 16S ribosomal RNA
Rfam family: Bacterial small subunit ribosomal RNA
Source: RNAcentral
GACGAACGCUGGCGGCGUGCUUAACACAUGCAAGUCGAGCGGAAAGGCCCUUUCGGGGGUACUCGAGCGGCGAACGGGUGAGUAACACGGGAGUAAUCUGCCCCUGGCUUUGGGAUAGCCACCGGAAACGGUGAUUAAUACCGGAUACGACCACUUCUCGCAUGGGAUGGUGGUGGAAAGUUUUUCGGCCAGGGAUGUUCUCGCGGCCUAUCAGCUUGAUGGUGAGGUAAUGGCUCACCAUGGCUUCGACGGGUAGCCGGCCUGAGAGGGUGACCGGUCACACUGGGACUGAGACACGGCCCAGACUCCUACGGGAGGCAGCAGUGGGGAAUAUUGGACAAUGGGCGGAAGCCUGAUCCAGCAACGACGCGUGAGGGAUGACGGCCUUCGGGUUGUAAACCUCCUUCAGCAGGGACGAAGCGCAAGUGACGGUACCUGCAGAAGAAGCACCGGCCAACUACGUGCCAGCCGCCGCCGUAA